Molecule: transfer RNA, 69 nt
Filed under: Cerambycidae sp. 7 KM-2017
Lineage: Eukaryota; Metazoa; Arthropoda; Insecta; Coleoptera; Cerambycidae
Description: tRNA-Val
Source: RNAcentral
CAAAUUAGAACUUGAGAUAAGUGUUUUAUUUACAUUAAAAAAAUAAUUGUUAAAUUCAAUUUAAUUUGA